GAUGAACGCUGGCGGCGUGCCUAAUACAUGCAAGUCGAGCGAACAGACGAGGAGCUUGCUCCUCUGACGUUAGCGGCGGACGGGUGAGUAACACGUGGAUAACCUACCUAUAAGACUGGGAUAACUUCGGGAAACCGGAGCUAAUACCGGAUAAUAUAUUGAACCGCAUGGUUCAAUAGUGAAAGACGGUUUUGCUGUCACUUAUAGAUGGAUCCGCGCCGCAUUAGCUAGUUGGUAAGGUAACGGCUUACCAAGGCAACGAUGCGUAGCCGACCUGAGAGGGUGUUCGGCCACACUGGAACUGAGACACGGUCCAGACUCCUACGGAAGGCAGAAGUAGGGAAUCUUCCGCAAUGGGCGAAAGCCUGACGGAGCAACGCCGCGUGAGUGAUGAAGGUCUUCGGAUCGUAAACUCUGUUAUUAGGGAAGAACAAAUGUGUAAGUAACUAUGCACGUCUUGACGGUACCUAAUCAGAAAGCCACGGCUAACUACGUG
Molecule: ribosomal RNA, 496 nt
Filed under: uncultured bacterium
Lineage: Bacteria
Description: partial 16S ribosomal RNA
Rfam family: Bacterial small subunit ribosomal RNA
Source: RNAcentral